UACGGGGGGGGCAAGCGUUGUUCGGAAUUACUGGGCGUAAAGGGCGCGUAGGCGGCCACCGCAAGUCGACUGUGAAAUCUCCGGGCUUAACCCGGAAAGGUCAGCCGAUACUGCGGGGCUAGAGUGCAGAAGGGGCAACUGGAAUUCUCGGUGUAGCGGUGAAAUGCGUAGAUAUCGAGAGGAACACCUGCGGCGAAGGCGGGUUGCUGGGCUGACACUGACGCUGAUGUGCGAAAGCUAGGGGAGCGAACGGG
Molecule: ribosomal RNA, 254 nt
Filed under: uncultured bacterium
Lineage: Bacteria
Description: partial 16S ribosomal RNA
Rfam family: Bacterial small subunit ribosomal RNA
Source: RNAcentral